RNAcentral lists this transfer RNA (77 nucleotides) under Pseudomonadota bacterium. Its description in RNAcentral is "tRNA-Val". It matches the Rfam family "tRNA". Rfam says of the family: Transfer RNA (tRNA) molecules are approximately 80 nucleotides in length. Their secondary structure includes four short double-helical elements and three loops (D, anti-codon, and T loops). RNAcentral also lists the same sequence under 1 other name. Lineage: Bacteria; Pseudomonadati; Pseudomonadota. The record is from RNAcentral.
AGUCGCGUAGCUCAGUUGGUUAGAGCACCACCUUGACAUGGUGGGGGUCGGUGAUUCGAGUUCACUCGCGACUACCA